Molecule: ribosomal RNA, 277 nt
Filed under: uncultured bacterium
Lineage: Bacteria
Description: partial 16S ribosomal RNA
Rfam family: Bacterial small subunit ribosomal RNA
Source: RNAcentral
AUGAACGCUGGCGGCAUGCCUAACACAUGCAAGUCGAACGAAGCCUUCGGGCUUAGUGGCGCACGGGUGCGUAACGCGUGGGAACCUGCCUUUCGGUUCGGAAUAACAGUUGGAAACGACUGCUAAUACCGGAUAAUGACUUCGGUCCAAAGAUUUAUCGCCGAAAGAUGGGCCCGCGUUAGAUUAGCUAGUUGGUGGGGUAAAGGCCUACCAAGGCGACGAUCUAUAGCUGGUCUGAGAGGAUGAUCAGCCACACUGGGACUGAGACACGGCCCAG